CCUCGGGCCCUGUGCAAUACAACCCUCGAACCAUGUCAGGUCCGGAAGGAAGCAGCAUUAAGAGGUUCACUGUAUGUGCAACAGGCAUCCCGAGGCUC
RNAcentral lists this signal recognition particle RNA (98 nucleotides) under Acidobacteriota bacterium. Its description in RNAcentral is "Acidobacteria bacterium (anaerobic digester metagenome) signal recognition particle sRNA small type". It matches the Rfam family "Bacterial small signal recognition particle RNA". From Rfam's summary of the family: The signal recognition particle (SRP) is a universally conserved ribonucleoprotein involved in the co-translational targeting of proteins to membranes. Lineage: Bacteria; Pseudomonadati; Acidobacteriota. The record is from RNAcentral.